AUGGCGGCCGGGGUGAAGAAAUGCUUGCGUGCGUCGAGGAUGUCGUACAGGUUGAGAGUCCUGGGAGUUAGCAUUUUGAGGGUGCCGAUGUUCCUGCCGCUCAGCCGCACGUUAUUAUCAAGCUCCGUGGAGAAGAACAUGGCCUUCUCCCUGGGGUCGAGCCCCCACCGCUGCAGCGCGGCCACGAAGUCCCUGGUCCGGGGGCCCGUCGCGAACUCCUCGUCGAACUCCUGGACGACGAAGGAGUCGUUGGCGACGGCGGCGCUGGCGAGCGCGGUGGAGAUGGCGAGGCGCUUCUCCUUGCGGUUGAUCUUGAUGGUCCAGUCCCGGGGCUUGGGGCCGAAGAUGACUCCACCGCCGGGGCGGAGCGGCGUACGGACCGACCCGCGCCGCGCCUUCCCGGUCUUCUUCUGGCCGUAUGGCUUCCUCCCGCCGCCCCGGACCUCCCCGCGGGUGAGGGUGGAGGGCGGCGCGGCCUUGAUGUCCAGGGCGACCUCCCCGACCUUCUCCCCGGUGAAGUUGAUGACCGGGAGGGUGGUGGCCUCGGCCCGCAGCGCGCGGAGGAUGGAGGCGGACGGCCUCCCCCUGACGGAGGCGUGCGGGAAGGAGGAGGAGGAGGAGGGGGAGGGGAGGAAGGAGACAGAGGAGGAGGAGAGGAAGGAGGAGGAAGAGGCGGAGAGCGAGAGCAGGAGGGGCGAGGCCACGGAGGAGACCGGCAUUGUGGCGGCUCUACGGCGGCUGCGCUGCGCUGGGGGCGGACGGAGAAGGGGGAGGAGAUGGCUCUGCCGCUGCAGCUGCCGCUUCUAUCUCUUUAUCCACACCACACCCGUUCGGCAGGAGUGUCUCCGUCCGUCGCGCACUGUCGACUGCGUCUUUUGA
RNAcentral lists this ribosomal RNA (879 nucleotides) under Triticum aestivum (bread wheat). RNAcentral's name for it is "partial small subunit ribosomal RNA". The record is from RNAcentral. Lineage: Eukaryota; Viridiplantae; Streptophyta; Magnoliopsida; Poales; Poaceae.